UAAGGAACUAACUAAGAAAAGACGAGUGAAUUCGAAGUAAAAAUAUAUAUAAAUAUGAUCCGAUCAGCCGCACAUUUCUCUCUCUAUGGCCUCCAUAAUUGUUCAGUAAAUUCUGCCUACAACACGUUAUUAGCACGCUUUUGACGCUGUGCUAAAGGGAGUUUGAUAUUCAAUGUGGGGAGUAUUACGUUUUAAUCAUUCUUUCUAUGAUUAAUUUAUUAUUUUAUUGAAUUGAUAUACAUGCUAUUGAUUCAAUUUAAUUUUUAUGUGAUGAAUAUGAUAUAACGCAUUGGAGAUACAAUUCUGGUUUUAUAAGAAUUAUCUUUUACAAAUUCAAAGGCUUUUAUUGUUUUAUGCCAAUCAGGUACGUUUAAAAUAAAGUAAGAUAUUUGAAGCGACCAUGAAGCAUGAAAACAUUCCCCAUGAUGCAUGAACCCCCAUAUGUUUAUAUUUUCCUUCCGAUAUAUAUAUAUAUAUAUAUAUAUAUAUAUAUAUAUAUAUAUAUAUAUAUAUAUAUAUAUAUUUGUUUCAUGCAUCGCACAAUUAAAUUGUUAUGUGGAAUAUGUGAGUCAAAGUAUCAAAUUAAAUUAGAAGAAAAUUUAGGGUUUCCUAAACCCUAGGGGAUUUGGAAAAAAAAAA
Molecule: long non-coding RNA, 639 nt
Filed under: Malus domestica (apple)
Lineage: Eukaryota; Viridiplantae; Streptophyta; Magnoliopsida; Rosales; Rosaceae
Description: long non-coding RNA (MDOM_LNC007517)
Source: RNAcentral